CUUAGUGGCAGACGGGUGAGUAACAUGUGGGUAUCUACCCUUUGGCCUGGAAUAACACGAGGAAACUUGUGCUAAUACCGGAUAAGUCUUUACGGAGAAAGCUUUAUGCACCAUUGGAUGAGCCCGCACUUGAUUAGUUUGUUGGUAGGGUAAUGGCCUACCAAGACUAUGAUCAAUAGCUGAUUUGAGAGGAUGAUCAGCCACAUUGGGACUGAGACACGGCCCAAACUCCUACGGGAGGCAGCAGUGGGGAAUCUUGCACAAUGGAGGAAACUCUGAUGCAGCGAUGCCGCGUGAGUGAAGAAGGCCUUUGGGUUGUAAAGCUCUUUCGUCGGGGAAGAAAAUGACUGUACCCGAAUAAGAAGGUCCGGCUAACUUCGUGCCAGCAGCCGCGGUAAUACGAAGGGACCUAGCGUAGUUCGGAAUUACUGGGCUUAAAGAGUUCGUAGGUGGUUGAAAAAGUUGGUGGUGAAAUCCCAGAGCUUAACUCUGGAACUGCCAUCAAAACUUUUCAGCUAGAGUAUGACAG
RNAcentral lists this ribosomal RNA (529 nucleotides) under uncultured Pelagibacterales bacterium. Its description in RNAcentral is "bacterial SSU rRNA". It matches the Rfam family "Bacterial small subunit ribosomal RNA", at positions 91 to 654 of the family's 1533-position model. Lineage: Bacteria; Pseudomonadati; Pseudomonadota; Alphaproteobacteria; Candidatus Pelagibacterales. The record is from RNAcentral.